Long non-coding RNA from Carassius gibelio (silver crucian carp), 2400 nucleotides. RefSeq lists it as uncharacterized. The record is from RefSeq and is a predicted model, not a curated record. Lineage: Eukaryota; Metazoa; Chordata; Actinopteri; Cypriniformes; Cyprinidae. The transcript has 6 exons.
CCAUUGUACGCUCCACUUUCAUCGGGACGUCCGGGAGUCCAAAUCCGCUGGGCCAACUCAGAGUUGUCGCGAGUAGCAUCAGGUAUCCACCGCGCAUUCAAAUUUCAAAUACUGACCACUUGUGUUUGUCACGUCCAGGAAAGGAGGGGGGCCCUGGACAGUCGCCCUGUAAGCCAGAACAAGGGACACUGGUGAAUAAGCUGAUUGUUGAUAUAGCCCAAAGGAAAAAUGAGUGAAGGGCUCACCUGAGAUCUUCCGUGACGGAGCUUAAGAGACCCGAGACUGUUAUUCCCCAAAUCGGAGAAUUGGAUUUUAGCUUCCCUUCCCCCUUUCACAAUAACCUUUUUUUUUAUUAGUUUAAUAAAGUGCUUUUAAUAUUUAAUUACUGGUUUUCUUGUGUGUCUGGUCAUUGGGGUGUUCUUGGGACCUCCUCGAGGUGGAAACAAGGAAGGGGCAUGACUCAAGACACCUGUGGUCCGCUCCGACCUGUGACACAUACAAAGCAGCAGUGCGCCAGCCCAGCGUCGCGUCAGGCACGGUUCUGGUGUGUAAAGACACAGAAAACGCGAGGAAGCCACCACGCUUCUGGGACGCUUCAGACACGCGACGCUCAUGCCAUGCAGCCAGUGUGUCACCGGCCUCUGUCUCUCUCUCUCUCGCGCGCGCGCGAUCCCUCUCUCUCUCUCUCGCGCGCGAUCCCUCUCUCUCUCUCUCUGCCAUGUUAAACUUGCAUGUGGUUUUAAGUCCUGUCAAUGAUAAACUUUCACUCUAUGAUGGUUUAGCUGUGCAAUUAAUCUGCGAAUCACAUUCGUCAAGGGCCGGGGAGCAGCUGGCCCGUACAGUUAAUGAAUAACGGAUCAACUACGACAGCCUACAUCGCACAUCCUGCGAUGUGACUAUUGUGGAUUCGUACAUCGCGAUAUCGAUGCUUAAACGACACAUCGUGCAGCCCUAAUUUGGAUGAUAUGUGGUUGUGUCUAAAAGGAACUCACUGAAUCAUCAAACAACAACGCUAGGCCACUGAUAUUGCUCGGGGCAAAAUGCUGUUGCGUGUUCAAUUCGGGGAAGAGCAGAAAUACGUCAAGCUGUCUGAGCUGACAUUCGAUGCUUUCUUGAAAGAAGUUACAUAAAAUCGGCUGCAGAUACCAUGGUGACCAAUGGUUUGAGGGUUCAAAUGAGGGUUCAAAGUCUGUCUCAAUGUAGCUUCAAAAUCUCGAUAUGAUCCCAGCAGAGAAAUAAGGUUCUUAUCUAGUUAAAUGAUCGGUCAUUUUCAAAAUAAAAAUACCACAAUUGUACGUGUUGUAGAAUCUCAAGAUGUGCCACAUGUGCCGUCAUGAUGUCGUAAAGGUCCAUUUGUGGUUAAAAAUUAUAUUAUUUUUAUUUUGAAAACAGCCGAUCGUUUCACUAUAUAAGACCCUUAUUUCUCUGCAGGGAUUGUCAGGUCUUUGAAGCUACAUUAAGACAUUUGACCCUUCAUUUGAACCCUCAAACCAUUGGUCACCAUGGAAGUUCAUUAUAUGGAGAAAAAUCCUGGAAUGUUUUCCUCAAAAAACGUAUAUUAUUUUCGCCUGAAGAAAGAAAGACAUGAACAUCUUGGAUGACAUGGGGGUUGAAACCAGUGUGCAGCAGCAUCUAAACAACAUCACCAAAAGCAGUCAGCCCUACCUUCUCGCCCAGGGAUCCAUACAGAGCCCCAUUCACUCCUACUUUAUUGUGUUUGACAAGCAUGCACUUCCAUGCAAGGCAACAGGUUCAGUUGGAGAUUUUGUCGAACUCUUUGAAGCCCAUUACGUCUUUGGUACGUCAUACAGUCCUUCAUUCGCUCCAUAUGACAUACAAAUGUUAUAUGGAAGGAAUGACACAUCUCUCCUUGUCGUGCCAUAUUGCUUUCUCAGGUAGACAUUUUUAUGUUAUACAUGUUUCUGUCAGAGAUAAGGCAAUGGGUCUGCAAUGUAAAUUCAGUGACAUUGAAAUACUUGAUUUUUUUACAAUAAAUUGUGAGUUCUGUGAUCUAGUGUUAUUGUGCUUGUUUUUAUUUCGAUAGUAGUUGAUAGUUCUGUAAUUCAGUAACAAUGCAUCUUAUAAUUUAUAUAUACUUUUUAAAACACUGUAGAGAAAUGAAAAGUAAAUAUUACACAUAAAGUGUCAUUUUUAAAAAGAGUAAAAUUAACUCUAUACUGUGUAAUUAUAUUACUCUUAACAGUGUGAUUACACUACAGUGUUAAAUACUUUUACACAUUUCAUUGUUAUUUUUUACACAAUAUUGAGUAGAAUUAACUCUAAAAAUUUGACACUGACCAAAGAGUAAAUUUUACACUGAUUUCGAGUGGGACCAAAUGUUAUCUGAAACAGAGUCAAAUUCAACUCUUUAGGAGUUAAAUUAACACUUCUGUUUUUACU